UUUUUUUCUGGGAUGUCAAUAGCUAGAUAACCUGGUUCUCCCCAAAUAGCUAAUUUUUAUGCAUGAAAGGUCCCUUGCUCCUACUCCAACCUCACUCCUAUGUUUUCCCUGAAACAGGUGUGUGUGUGUGUGUGUGUGUGUGUGUGUGUGUAUACACAUAUAUCUUCUGGGUUUUAUGUGCUAUUUGAGGAGUGCUCUGUACUCAGAGCAGAGAACGGUGUCCAGUUGGCCAUUUCGAGGUGUGCAUUUCAUCUCCUUACGUCAUCUGUGGCAUUAGGACCUGCCACUUCAGUAGGGCACACUGUGGGCUCUCCAUCGCCACAGCUCCUGCCCUGCCUUAUCAGCUCCUGUGCCUUCCAAUUCCUUCACAGUGAUUGGAACGCGUCAGGAUCGGGAGCGGGAGUAAAAAACACAUGUUCAGUUUAUCGUAUUAAAUUGCAAGCUUUUAAGUAUAUUUCUAAAAACUAUAAAAACCAUUCCUAAUUUUUUUAAGGAAAUACCUUUCUAAAUCACUAUAGGAAACAUAAGAAAAAAAGGAAGUUGCAAACAAAUAAUAAAAACAGGAAAAAAGAUAAAAGAACAGCUCAAUAUAGCAGCUAUUGGGGGAACUGCAGCCCACUUAUUCAAUGGCAAAGUCUGUUUAUCAUGUUGUUAAAGACAACCAAACAAAUGACACCUGAAUCCUCGAGAGGGCUGGGAAAUGCUGGAUGGAUUUGCCAAUGAUAGCAGCAGUGUGGUGGUAUUCUCAUCAAAUUCGGAGCCCAGGCGAGCAGCAUUCAGCAGGAAGAUGAUCUUAUAUUGGUAAGGGAUACAUAGAAAGUUUUGCAGAAUGCCAGCCUCAAAACACAAAGCAGAAACUCUUAGAAAUACAAGGAAAAUUUGACAUGGAAGAAAAAUAAGGUUGCAGAGAGUUUUAACAAUAUGAUCACUAUCCCUGAACUAACAAACCACAGAACAAACAGCAGCAACUUUAGAAAAUGGCCUUGUCAUCAUCAUAAAAGGCUUGAGGCUACAGAAGGAAACUGCAAAUCCAUGGAGGAGAGACUUCACAGCAGACAGGCUCUACUAUAUUCACAGGUGUGAAAAAGAACUAAAAAGCUUUUCAAUGAAAUCCCCCAAAUGGUUGAAAAGUAAAAAGCACCCAAGUAAAAAUUAAUAUCCUAGAACACUGAGAUCAAAGCAAACCUGGGAAGAACAGCUAGAGACCGCUUAGGAUCAUAAUUUGAGGAAGGUCAUUAAACUCCAGGAAAUGCAGUCAGUGUCCCUUAGCAAAGCAUACAACCUUAAAAGCUGAAAAUAUACCUGUUAAGAAAGCAGCUGAAUGAGGCACUCCUCCUAAGCAGUUAGGAGUACAAUGAAAAGAUC
RNAcentral lists this long non-coding RNA (1365 nucleotides) under Canis lupus familiaris (dog). Its description in RNAcentral is "lncRNA (ENSCAFG00000052260.1)". The record is from RNAcentral. Lineage: Eukaryota; Metazoa; Chordata; Mammalia; Carnivora; Canidae.